GAAUAUUCCUGACGGCGUUAGUUAACGCCGUCAGUGUGCGUGGCACGUGACCGCGCGUGGGCAGCGCGUAGACUGGGCGCGUGAGGGCGCGUGGGACCUCCAAAUUGAAUUCUGAAAAUUGUCACGCGUUCGUGACGUCGUGUAGAUCACCGUGGUGAAAAAUUAUACAGAGGAAGAAUGUAACCAAUCUAGGGGAGGCUCAGGAACCUACGAGACGUCGAUAUAAUCUGUUCCAGUAUAUGCAAAGGUGUGGUGACUAC
Pyrus x bretschneideri (Chinese white pear) is the source of this 260-nucleotide long non-coding RNA. RefSeq lists it as uncharacterized. The transcript is spliced from 3 exons. NCBI's taxonomy places the organism in Eukaryota, Viridiplantae, Streptophyta, Magnoliopsida, Rosales, Rosaceae. The record is from RefSeq and is a predicted model, not a curated record.